Molecule: long non-coding RNA, 525 nt
Filed under: Elaeis guineensis (African oil palm)
Lineage: Eukaryota; Viridiplantae; Streptophyta; Magnoliopsida; Arecales; Arecaceae
Description: long non-coding RNA (EGUI_LNC024038)
Source: RNAcentral
UGAUGGAUAGUUUGUCCAUGAUCGAUGAUCAAAGACAUUGAAGAGCUUGAAUAGCUCGAUAUAACCAUACAUAAGAAAUUAUUAAUAGAUUUGAUCCUACAAUCUCUGACUCAUACGGAUAGUUUAUGAAACUAUUAUAUGAAUAAAUGUUAUAGCACCUUAGCUAAAUUGAUCAAUAUGCUGGUAACUAAAGGACCUUGAAAAGUUUAAAGGUACAUAUAUGGAGAACCUAAAAAAAUAUUAACACACCUUUGGAAGAUAUGUCAAAUUACUAAAAAUUGAUCUUACGAUUUUCUCUUUUUCAUUAGACUCUAGUGCAUAUUACGUACUUUAAUAUAAGGUCUAAGGAAGGAAGAGGACUGAGGAAAGGUGAAGUGACUCUUUUGAGUCAGUAAUUAUGCAAAAGUUGCACUGAGGCCAUGGAUACCUAAUCUCAGUGAUUACCGUUUGGAUUUAGUUCUUGAUCAUUUGCAUGGUGAUGCAUUUGUGAACUUAUUUGAGUAAAUAGUAAAUAUCAUUGGGUCU